Oreochromis niloticus (Nile tilapia) is the source of this 1313-nucleotide long non-coding RNA. RefSeq lists it as uncharacterized. The record is from RefSeq and is a predicted model, not a curated record. Lineage: Eukaryota; Metazoa; Chordata; Actinopteri; Cichliformes; Cichlidae. The transcript has 3 exons.
UUUAGCAAUUUGCAAGUGUGCAGCACAUCAGAAGAAUGACUAUGAAAUUACAAAGGGAAACAAUUUUACUGACAAAGGAUGAACAAAAAGCAGCUCCCACAGCUGAGCAAAAGAAAUGGCUGAAAUGUGGAGCGAAACUAAAAGAUGACUUGAUGGUUUGUGAAGGAAAACCAAUACUUCCAAAAUCUCUACACAAAACAGCAGCCUUAGUGACACAUGGAGUUACUCUCCAUGUGUCAACAGGAGGGAUAAGAGAUAUAAUCUCCAAAACACACUCUAAAUUUCGAAACUUCAGCAAAAUGCUGGCCAGAGUGUAUAGGCCUAGUAAAAUGUGGAUGAGAUUAACCCAAUGCUUGCAGAAACUGACACCAUUUGAAAUUGUACAUGGUAGACCUUUUCCUCUGCCUAUCACCAGUGAACCAAUAGACAAAUCAGUUAGAGAAACAACCCUAGCAGAAUGGAUGACAAAACUGCUAGAGAACAAAGAAAUAGUUCUGAGCAACCAACUGCCGAAUGAUUCUUCUCCAGUCUCUUCCAGGUUGAAACCAGGCGACUGGAUCCUGAUCAAGGUACUCCAGAGGAAAAACUGGAGCUCUCCGAGGUGGGAGGGCCCUUAUCAGGUCCUGCUCACAACACCGACAGCGUGCAAAAUCGCUGAAAGACCUUCGUGGAUCCACCAGAGCCACGCCAAAAAAGUACAAGGGGACACAAGCCCAGACACCAGUCCACCUAUCAUCUAGUGAUCUGUAAGUGAAGGAGAGGGCAGAUUGGGUAUACCCCGCCCUCUUGACUUCUCGCUUUCAGUCGACACACUAGGUGAUCUGGUGAACUUGGUCAACCUGAAGAAACCCCAUUGUAGCCCGAGCACCGACCUAGCCCCAUCUGCCCGGUAGAGUAAAGGAAGAUCAGUCCAACCUGCAAAACCAGAAGAGCAACCCAUCACUCAAGUAACUACUCAGACACUCAUAAACAAUGCCUGACAUAGACGUGCAAAAUGAACAUUCAGACAUUUCAGAUGGAGAGGACCCAGUCCCCAACAGGACUCGACGACGAUGCUGGUUACUCGCCCACAACAAAUGACUCAGACCCAUGUAAUGGGCAGACACAAUCAAAGUAUUAGCAACUAUCUUAUGCAGUAUUUUAGUGAUGUUGGCCAUUAUUGUUUGUUGUAUUGUACCAUGUUUCAAAGCUUUGAUUAAGAAAGUUGCUAAAGACACUGCAACCGGAGUCUUCCUGGCACAAGCUUAUAGCCCGAUAGCAACUGAGGAAGAAGAAGACUGUGUUUAAAAAUUUCAGACACUUAACAUGAUGUA